RNAcentral lists this long non-coding RNA (457 nucleotides) under Pan troglodytes (chimpanzee). RNAcentral's name for it is "lincRNA". Lineage: Eukaryota; Metazoa; Chordata; Mammalia; Primates; Hominidae. The record is from RNAcentral.
AGUCCUUGUGAGGCUGUUUCCUUACCCUUUGAUGAGGUGUAGUCACAGCUUCAGAGGCUCCCCGCAAAGUUUUUGUCAUCGGUGAUGGAACACAAGAUGUAAGAGCUGAAGAGUUAUGAACACAAAUGUGAAACCUUGCCUACUGGAGCUGCCACUAGAAAGCCCGCCAACAUGGCAUUGGGACUAAUAUAAUCAAAGUCUCCCACCCCUAAACAGAGAAAAACAAAAUACAGCAUAUGGCCAAAGUGAUUUAUCUUUAUACUUUUUUUUAAUCUUUAAAAGAUAUUUAUUGCCCUAUAAUAUACCUACAGAAAAAUGCACUGACCCUCAGUGUACAUGAGAUUCUUUCAUAAAUUUCAUGUGUACAUGCGUACUUCAAGUGUACGUGAAAUGACCUCUGUUUAUAUUCCAUCACAAUGCCUGGACAAGACUUACUUAAUAUAAGUGAAAAAAAUCA